This is a long non-coding RNA of Haliotis rufescens (red abalone), 362 nucleotides long. RefSeq lists it as uncharacterized. The record is from RefSeq and is a predicted model, not a curated record. NCBI's taxonomy places the organism in Eukaryota, Metazoa, Mollusca, Gastropoda, Lepetellida, Haliotidae. The transcript is spliced from 3 exons.
UUCCUGACUUUAAGUUACGAAGACAGUUGAACGAAGCCAAGAUGUCCGCCAAGAUCUUUCUUAUCCUUGCUUUCUGUGCUAUGCUGUUUUCUCUGACGUCCGCGUGUUGCAAGAAGUCCUGCUGUCACUCUGGCUCCUCCCACCAUAGCUCCUCCUCCAGCUACCCCAUCCCCUACCCCGUCCCCAUGCAUCACGGCAGCAGUGGUGGCCACAGCGGCAGCAACGGGGCCCAAGACGCCGCUCUACUUCAGGCACUCAUCAACGCUGGCAGGUAGAUGCUGACAGGUGACACGCACGAGGGCCACAACUGAAGAUAGAGUAAUAGAAAUACAAAUGUUGACGUGCAUCAAUAAACUGUGUGG